This 340-nucleotide unclassified non-coding RNA is filed under the name uncultured fungus. RNAcentral's name for it is "sequence contains ITS1". Lineage: Eukaryota; Fungi. The record is from RNAcentral.
UCAGCUUCCAGACACUCCCACAAUACUGCCAGUGAUUGGAUCGGUUAGGUACCUUACCACGCCAGUAGUGCACCCGUCCGUUAAGAUGGUAUUAAACGAUCUAGCGCACACCACCACCAGCCAGAGAUUACACAAUGGUAGUCAGAUACUAGACAGACCAUGGAGCUCGAUGUCCAGUCACGUGUCACCAGCGACGACUUCAUGACUCACACAGCCACUCAUGACUUCCCUGCCCUCGACGACCGCGCUACUCAGCGAGGAAUAUGCUGCACAUAGGAAUACGUGCAUUGAAUUCCACGCUGGGACAUGGCGGCAGUGGUCCGGUGCGCUCACAGUCCAC